RNAcentral lists this long non-coding RNA (554 nucleotides) under Pongo abelii (Sumatran orangutan). Its description in RNAcentral is "lincRNA". Lineage: Eukaryota; Metazoa; Chordata; Mammalia; Primates; Hominidae. The record is from RNAcentral.
AUCCCGGUGCUGCCCACCCACCACACCGCAGGGGCCUCUGAACCUCGCCAGGCACGUCCGGUUCUGCGGCCCCCACUCCGCCCCCGCCUGCCAGGAGCCGCGCAGUUACAAAGUGCUGGGAGCCGUGGAAGGCCAGUGAACCCCUCGCUGAGACUCAGUUUGCUGCCAUCACAAGUGCUCUGAGAAUCCUGGAGAGGGAGGGUAUUGGAGACAAACGAGACUGCUGCCCGCCUUUUAGGCGACCGUCGGAGGCUGCUCUGUGCUGGGCACAGGCAGGGAGGUGGAGGCCAGACACAAGAAAAGCAGACACAAGAAAACCACAGUACCAGUAAAUGACAAAGGCUGGAUCUUAACCCAAGUCCUCCGACUCUGAAGGCCAUACCCAACAGGUCCCAUUUUAUUUGUUUUACUUUUUGUUAAUUGAAGAAAAAAAAAACUAGCAUUCCCCUACAGUGCCCCCCACCUGGUGGGGACAUCUUGGAUUGGCAAGGCCACCACUUUCAAGAGUAGAAGCGUUUUUCAGCAGGAGGAGUUUGCCGCACCAAAGGAGCUCA